This 365-nucleotide long non-coding RNA is filed under the name Brassica rapa (field mustard). RNAcentral describes it as "long non-coding RNA (BRAP_LNC006901)". The record is from RNAcentral. Lineage: Eukaryota; Viridiplantae; Streptophyta; Magnoliopsida; Brassicales; Brassicaceae.
UUUGAAGUAGAAAUUAGACUAUAUUAUAUGAAUUUACGAUAUAAUGUAGAAUUUAUAACUCGAUUUUCUUACUAUAAUAUGAUAUACCAAAUGUUAUAAUAUAUAUAUAUAUAUAUAUAUAUAUAUAUUUGUUUUAAAAUUUUCAAAACACAUCAUAAAUAGAAAAUAAAAUCUAUAUUUUUGUGAGUAUUUUAUAAAUUUGAAUAAUUGUUUUUAAGGAAGCUAGAAGAAAAAUAAGAUUAGAGGGAAACACAUUUUACAAUAAAAGAAAAAAGAAAAUAAAGAAAAAACAAAACCUCUAUAUAUGCUUAUACAGAGGGGCAUAAUUGCAAUUAAUACAUAAUAUAUAUGAGUAUUUGCACUCC